UCGGUUGAUCCUGCCGGAGGCCACUGCUAUCGGGGUCCGAUUAAGCCAUGCGAGUCGAGAGGGGUAAAGCCCUCGGCGAACGGCUCAGUAACACGUGGACAACCUACCCUCAGAUCUGGGAUAACUCCGGGAAACUGGAGAUAAUACCGGAUAAGCCAUGAACGCUGGAAUGCCUCAUGAUCCAAAGCUUUUGCGUCUGAGGAUGGGUCUGCGGCCGAUUAGGUAGUUGCUGGGGUAACGUCCCAACAAGCCGAUAAUCGGUACGGGUUGUGAGAGCAAGAGCCCGGAGAUGGAUUCUGAGACACGAAUCCAGGCCCUACGGGGCGCAGCAGGCGCGAAAACUUUACACUGCGCGAAAGCGCGAUAAGGGGACCUCGAGUGCGUGCGCAUUGCGUACGCUUUUCAUAUGCCUAAAAAGCAGGUGGAAUAAGGGCCGGGCAAGACCGGUGCCAGCCGCCGCGGUAACACCGGCGGCUCAAGUGGUGGCCGCUUUUAUUGGGCUUAAAGGGUCCGUAGCCGGGCCAGUUAGUCCUCUGGGAAAUCUUACGGCUUAACCGUAAGGCUGCCAAAGGAUACUGUUGGCCUUGGGACCGGGAGAGGCAAGAGGUACCUCAGGGGUAGGAGUGAAAUCCUGUAAUCCUUGAGGGACCGCCAGUGGCGAAGGCGUCUUGCUAGAACGGGUCCGACGGUGAGGGACGAAAGCUAGGGGCACGAACCGGAUUAGAUACCCGGGUAGUCCUAGCCGUAAACGAUGCNAGCUAGGUGUCACGUGGNUUGCNAAUCCAUGUGGUGNCGUANGGAAACCGUGNAGCUCGCCGCCNGNNANUACGGCCGCAAGGNUGAAACUUNAA
Molecule: ribosomal RNA, 851 nt
Filed under: uncultured archaeon
Lineage: Archaea
Description: bacterial SSU rRNA
Rfam family: Archaeal small subunit ribosomal RNA
Source: RNAcentral